RNAcentral lists this ribosomal RNA (265 nucleotides) under uncultured Staphylococcus sp. Its description in RNAcentral is "partial 16S ribosomal RNA". It matches the Rfam family "Bacterial small subunit ribosomal RNA", at positions 96 to 355 of the family's 1533-position model. The record is from RNAcentral. Lineage: Bacteria; Bacillati; Bacillota; Bacilli; Caryophanales; Staphylococcaceae.
CGGCGGACGGGUAGUAACACGUGGAUAACCUACCUAUAAGACUGGGAUAACUUCGGGAAACCGGAGCUAAUACCGGAUAAUAUAUUGAACCGCAUGGUUCAAUAGUGAAAGACGGUUUUGCUGUCACUUAUAGAUGGAUCCGCGCCGCAUUAGCUAGUUGGUAAGGUAACGGCUUACCAAGGCAACGAUGCGUAGCCGACCUGAGAGGGUGAUCGGCCACACUGGAACUGAUACACGGUCCAGACUCCUACGGGAGGCAGCAGCU